UUCUGAAUGUGUCAUGUCCCCUCCCA
Molecule: non-coding RNA, 26 nt
Filed under: Mus musculus (house mouse)
Lineage: Eukaryota; Metazoa; Chordata; Mammalia; Rodentia; Muridae
Source: RNAcentral